Macaca fascicularis (crab-eating macaque) is the source of this 2059-nucleotide long non-coding RNA. Lineage: Eukaryota; Metazoa; Chordata; Mammalia; Primates; Cercopithecidae. The record is from Ensembl.
GCUCAAUCCUGAUAAUACCUAGGAGGCAAUCCCAGACUCCUAGAUGUCCCAAGGCUGCCCUCAGUAUUAUCUUCUUAUUGUCAGUGGUAGGAAUAUUAUAGCCUUGAUGACCACUAUUCAUGUUAAUGACAGUUGUUAUAGCCUUCUUCACCCUGCUGCCUUUUAUCUUUGCUUCCCUGCUUCCCAAGGUCUAAAAAGGCUUGGCUUUAAAAAUAUGACCCUGUGUUUUAGUAUUUUCAAGACUUUUGGCUGUAUCCCCACCACCAUAAUAAACCUAAGAGAAAAUGCUAUAAAAGGCAGAAGAAAAAUAACACUAUCGCCUUCCUUUGGGAUUGUUUGUGGGCCAGUUUGCCCCACAACACGGGCUCCUGGGUUUGACUUCUUCAUUCAUUGAUUCAAUUGCAGAAGGAGAUGACAGAGUCUACCUCCCAGGGAGAAGGAACGGGACACACGGGCCCUGGUCCAGCCUCCAUUCAACCACAAGGCUUACUAUUCACCUACCCCUCAGCAAGCUUGCUUAUCACCAUCUUCCAACUCCUCAACACUGGGCUUGAAUGCGAUCCUACAGUAGGACCCCCAUCUCCCACCCAAUUCCACAUCCCAAGAGGCUGGCAUGCCCUGCCAUCUCCCCUCCCCAGCCCCACUGUGUGCUGGUGCAUUUGCUUUGAUGAUGGUAAUAUUCCGUCACUUGGUGACCCCAUUCCUGAGGCUGAGCUCCUGAGAGCAUCCCAGCCCCAAAUCCCCAAGGUCUAGGCCACGUUGAGGGCGUCCCAAUGUCAGUGCUCCGUGAUCCCACCUAAUAGAUCCUCCUCCAAUUCUUAUCUAGAUCUAAACAUACCCUCCACCAUCUGCCUGCAGGAGAAACAAAAUAUCUUGAAUUCUGCUACUUGCCCAGAAUUUUCAUCUGCUGACCUCUCUUGGAUGGUUGCACGGAGCAAGGUAGAAACUUUUACCUCUUCCCCUUGAAAUGUAAGCCAAGGCUGAGCCAAGUCAGCCCCAAAGGUUAUUUUCUUCUGAACCCUUCCUGGUCCCGCUUGGUCCCCCAGGGCUGAGAACACCCUCCUGUCGGGCAGAAGCUUUCCAACCCAGGUCUCCCUGACCAAGGUAAGAGGAGACAAGACAAGGAGGACGCUCUGCCUGGUGAGAUCAGGCUUUAAGCCUGUUUGCUCCUCUUACCUGCCGACCCCUUGAAAUGCCAAGCAGAGCUCCUCUCUGAGGGCGGAUGAUUGAAGCGGUGGGGUGAUGGGGUGGGGAGGGAGCCUGGGCGGGUUCAGCCUCACUCAGUACACAUUCUGAGUUUAGCUAAAAUAGUCAUGAAGUUUUCACAAGGCUCAGAAACAAUGCAAUGGAAAUCGCCCCCAGCCUCAUCCUUGGGGGUCCCAAGUAUCCAUGGUGAUAAGACAGCUUGAACCCUCCUCCUGCUCUCCAGGGUGGUCUGAUAGUGGAUGUUCUUAGAACAGGGGUCUGAAUAUUUUUGACUUUCUGUCUGCAUGACCUUGGGGAGAUCAGUGAGUGUCUCUGAGCCUCAGUUUCUUCAUAUGUUGAAUGAGGUUGGUGACAGCUGCCUUAUCUACCUCCAGGAUUGUUAUGAAGUUCAAAGGCAAUAAUAUAUACAAGAGCACUUUCAAAAAUUUGAGGAAUAGAGAGAAAAACAACAACAACAAUAACAACAACAACACUGGGAAAUGAACCAGGUUUUGCUUCCUAUUAUUCCCCUAAAACCCCCAAAACAAGAUUACUAAAGAACGUGUAGCCUGGGCUGGGUGCGGUGGCUCAUGCCUGUGAUCUCAGCACUUUGGGAGACCAAGGCGGGUGGAUCACCUGAGGUCAGGAGUUCAAGACCAGCCUGGCCAACAUGGUGAAACCCUGUCUCUAUUAAAAAUACAAAAAUUAGCCAGGCAUGGCGGCGCAUGCCUGUAAUCCGAACUAUUUGGGAGACUGAGGCAGGAGAAUUGUUUGAACCAGGGAGGCAAAGGUUGCAGUGAGCCAGCCAAGAUCACGCCACUGCACUCCAGCCUGUGUGAGAGAGCAAGCGAGACUCCGUUUCCAAAAAAAAAAA